UUUGAUCCUGGCUCAGAACGAACGCUAGCGGCAGGCCUAACACAUGCAAGUCGAGCGCACUCUUCGGAGUGAGCGGCGGACGGGUUAGUAACGCGUGGGAAUAUACCCUUUUCUACGGAAUAGCCUCGGGAAACUGAGAGUAAUACCGUAUACGCCCUUCGGGGGAAAGAUUUAUCGGUGAAGGAUUAGCCCGCGUAAGAUUAGAUAGUUGGUGGGGUAAUGGCCUACCAAGUCUACGAUCUUUAGCUGGUUUGAGAGGAUGAUCAGCAACACUGGGACUGAGACACGGCCCAGACUCCUACGGGAGGCAGCAGUGGGGAANCUUAGACAAUGGGCGCAAGCCUGAUCUAGCCAUGCCGCGUGAGUGACGAAGGCCUUAGGGUCGUAAAGCUCUUUCGCCAGAGAUGAUAAUGACAGUAUCUGGUAAAGAAACCCCGGCUAACUCCGUGCCAGCAGCCGCGGUAAUAAGGG
Molecule: ribosomal RNA, 471 nt
Filed under: uncultured Loktanella sp.
Lineage: Bacteria; Pseudomonadati; Pseudomonadota; Alphaproteobacteria; Rhodobacterales; Roseobacteraceae
Description: bacterial SSU rRNA
Rfam family: Bacterial small subunit ribosomal RNA
Source: RNAcentral